This 446-nucleotide ribosomal RNA is filed under the name uncultured bacterium. Its description in RNAcentral is "partial 16S ribosomal RNA". It matches the Rfam family "Bacterial small subunit ribosomal RNA", at positions 338 to 795 of the family's 1533-position model. The record is from RNAcentral.
CCUACGGGCGGCAGCAGUCGAGAAUCAUUCACAAUGGGGGAAACCCUGAUGGUGCGACGCCGCGUGGGGGAAUGAAGGUCUUCGGAUUGUAAACCCCUGUCAUGUGGGAGCAAAUUAAAAAGAUAGUACCACAAGAGGAAGAGCAGGCUAACUCUGUGCCAGCAGCCGCGGUAAUACAGAGGUCUCAAGCGUUGUUCGGAAUCAAUGGGCGUAAAGCGUGCGUAGGCUGUUUCGUAAGUCGUGUGUGAAAGGCGCGGGCUCAACCCGCGGACGGCACAUGAUACUGCGAGACUAGAGUAAUGGAGGGGGAACCGGAAUUCUCGGUGUAGCAGUGAAAUGCGUAGAUAUCGAGAGGAACACUCGUGGCGAAGGCGGGUUCCUGGACAUUAACUGACGCUGAGGCACGAAGGCCAGGGGAGCGAAAAGGAUUAGAUACCCCAGUAGUC